Molecule: ribosomal RNA, 465 nt
Filed under: Vreelandella stevensii
Lineage: Bacteria; Pseudomonadati; Pseudomonadota; Gammaproteobacteria; Oceanospirillales; Halomonadaceae
Description: partial 16S ribosomal RNA
Rfam family: Bacterial small subunit ribosomal RNA
Source: RNAcentral
CCUACGGGAGGCAGCAGUGGGGAUUAUUGGACAAUGGGGGGAACCCUGAUCCAGCCAUGCCGCGUGUGUGAAGAAGGCCCUCGGGUUGUAAAGCACUUUCAGUGAGGAAGAACGCCUGGUGGUUAAUACCCAUCAGGAAAGACAUCACUCACAGAAGAAGCACCGGCUAACUCCGUGCCAGCAGCCGCGGUAAUACGGAGGGUGCGAGCGUUAAUCGGAAUUACUGGGCGUAAAGCGCGCGUAGGUGGCUUGAUAAGCCGGUUGUGAAAGCCCCGGGCUCAACCUGGGAACGGCAUCCGGAACUGUCAAGCUAGAGUGCAGGAGAGGAAGGUAGAAUUCCCGGUGUAGCGGUGAAAUGCGUAGAGAUCGGGAGGAAUACCAGUGGCGAAGGCGGCCUUCUGGACUGACACUGACACUGAGGUGCGAAAGCGUGGGUAGCAAACAGGAUUAGAUACCCCUGUAGUC